GAUGAAGAACGUAGCGAAAUGCGAUGAGUAAUGCGAAUUGCAGAAUUUCCGUGAGUCAUCGAAUCUUUGAACGCACAUUGCGCCCACUGGUAUUCCGGUGGGCAUGCCUGUUCGAGCGUCAUUAUCCUCCCUCAAACCCCGGGUUUGGUGUUGGACCCAAGUUGUGUGAACAACUGGUCUCAAAGACAAUGACGGCGUCCGUGGGACCCUCGGUGCAACGAGCUUUUAGGAGCACGCAUCGAGUUGCAAGGACCUUCCGGGCCGGUCUCCUUUACCAUUUUACAAGGUUGACCUCGGAUCAGGUAGGAAUACCCGCUGAACUUAAGCAUAUCAAUAAGCGGAGGA
Molecule: unclassified non-coding RNA, 345 nt
Filed under: soil metagenome
Description: partial contains 5.8S ribosomal RNA, internal transcribed spacer 2, and large subunit ribosomal RNA
Rfam family: 5.8S ribosomal RNA (bases 1-121)
Source: RNAcentral